GUUAUUUCAAUGAACACCACUGCCUGUCUCAUUCCCGAGGCUUCUUUGAGGACGGAUUAAUAUCGUGCCAGUUGCAGACGGCUCUCAGCUGCAGAAUUAUUUCACACCUUUCCAUCCUCAUCCGGACACCAGAGACGUCAAAGAUCAUAAGACUGAAAUGAGCGACCAUCAAGAAAAAGACCGCAAGCACAGAAAGACUGCUAACUCAAAAUCUCAGCAAAUGAAGCACCAUCACCAAAACCAAGGCCAUGGUCAUCGUCAAAAGUUACAUCAGUCAGAUGACAACGAUAGCAAUGACAGCCAUUCAAGAGCCGAGGACAGGAUUUCCGAUGAUCAUCCACCCGAUGAUCAAAGUCAGUGGGAUGAUGACAAGACUCGUCAUCCUCGCCAUUGCCAUCAGAAGCAAAACCAUCGGCAUGUCUCUCGUUCAGAAGCUCCCCUGAGUUCCUCAACUGGUUCCUCUUCAUCGUCCUUCUCCUCUUCUUCUUCUCCAUCAAAACCUUCCUCCUCCUCUUCAUCUACUUCA
This is a long non-coding RNA of Anarrhichthys ocellatus (wolf-eel), 526 nucleotides long. RefSeq lists it as uncharacterized. The transcript has 3 exons. The record is from RefSeq and is a predicted model, not a curated record. Lineage: Eukaryota; Metazoa; Chordata; Actinopteri; Perciformes; Anarhichadidae.